Long non-coding RNA from Magnolia sinica, 1121 nucleotides. RefSeq lists it as uncharacterized. The record is from RefSeq and is a predicted model, not a curated record. The transcript has 2 exons. Lineage: Eukaryota; Viridiplantae; Streptophyta; Magnoliopsida; Magnoliales; Magnoliaceae.
GUACGUAUCAGGUGAUAAGUACCGGUUUUGGACAAUACUUUAAACCUUUCUUUUGCCAUUGAAGGUGUUUAGUAUUUUCAAGGGCAUGUGCUUUUUAAAUCAGGUCAUGGGUUGAGUUAGCUUACAACAUGUUGGUGAUGAGUUCUCCCUCCAUCCAUAGGGGGGUCCAUCGGGUCUGUUACUGGGUUAUCAAGCCGUGGGGCCCCAUCUGCAUGAACUGGGUGCAUCAGGAUUCAGAGUAAGGAAACUAUCACAUCUUGGUGCAUGAGUUCCUCCUAAUUUCUUAUUCUUAUACAAAGACAAGUGGAGCAGUUGGACUUUCAUGAGUCCAAGCAAAAUGAAUCCCAUGUAACUUGGCAGUUGGCACAGACACGUAGCAUCCUGCUAGUUUUUGCUGUUCAAAGUAGGAGAUGAAGUGUUGGUUUCCUUCUGAAAAGACCGGUUUCUCAAUAUAUGUAUCAUAAUCCUGUGCAAAAAAUUGAAGCUGGGGGCCUAAUGCCAAUUAUCUUGAGUUGGCAGAAGAUAUCUAUAUCAGUCCAAUUUUCAACAUUGUGGAUUUAUAUGGAUAUUCAGGGUAAAGGAGAAAGCAAUCGCAUUGGUGGCGGUACAUGGGUUGAGCGACUUCAAAAGAAGCCAGAUGAGGAAGUUGAAGACACUGUUGAUAUUAAGAUUGUCUUCGCUUGAUAAUGUAAUCAUGAGAAAAUUUCUGACCAAAUGGAGGAGCUCUAGCCAAAAUUUUCUCAGUUUCGGAGAAUUGAUGUGGAUCAUGACUAAGAUUAAGUGAGAGAGAAAGAGUUGGACCUGACGUUAACUGAGCGGAUGAUAUCAUCUAGUAGGGCCUAGACAGUGCCAUGGGACUUGAAACUAGGGUAGGAGUCCCUUUUUGAAAAUACUUGUUAGGGAAGUUAUGGUAAAUCACUUUUCUAUUCUAUUCUUUUUUUUUUUUUUUAAUAAAAAAAUUUAUUUUCUUCUAUACUUUAUUUCUGUUUUUAUUGGAGUUCCAAUGAAAUUAUCAAGGAUGUUUUUGUGUAUCCUAGCAUUUAAAGAUGGGUAUGUGCUAAACACAUGUCAGGAUGUAUGGGCACAUGAUACUGCAUUUUUUUUCAGAGAGUUCUCUCAUG